UCCCUGGUGGUCCAGUGGCUACGACUUGGCACUCCCAAUGCAGGGGGCCUGGGUUCAAUCCCUGGUCAAGGAA
RNAcentral lists this transfer RNA (73 nucleotides) under Ovis aries (sheep). It matches the Rfam family "tRNA". Rfam says of the family: Transfer RNA (tRNA) molecules are approximately 80 nucleotides in length. Their secondary structure includes four short double-helical elements and three loops (D, anti-codon, and T loops). Further hydrogen bonds mediate the characteristic L-shaped molecular structure. tRNAs have two regions of fundamental functional importance: the anti-codon, which is responsible for specific mRNA codon recognition, and the 3' end, to which the tRNAs corresponding amino acid is attached (by aminoacyl-tRNA synthetases). tRNAs cope with the degeneracy of the genetic code in two manners: having more than one tRNA (with a specific anti-codon) for a particular amino acid; and 'wobble' base-pairing, i.e. permitting non-standard base-pairing at the 3rd anti-codon position. The record is from Rfam by way of RNAcentral. Lineage: Eukaryota; Metazoa; Chordata; Mammalia; Artiodactyla; Bovidae.